Molecule: ribosomal RNA, 245 nt
Filed under: uncultured bacterium
Lineage: Bacteria
Description: partial 16S ribosomal RNA
Rfam family: Bacterial small subunit ribosomal RNA
Source: RNAcentral
UACGUAGGGUGCGAGCGUUAAUCGGAAUUACUGGGCGUAAAGCGUACGCAGGCGGCUUGGUAAGACAGAUGUGAAAUCCCCGGGCUUAACCUGGGAACUGCAUUUGUGACUGCCUGGCUCGAGUCUGUCAGAGGGGGGUGGAAUUCCACGUGUAGCAGUGAAAUGCGUAGAGAUGUGGAGGAACACCGAUGGCGAAGGCAGCCCCCUGGGAUGAGACUGACGCUCAUGUACGAAAGCGUGGGGAG